Sebastes umbrosus (honeycomb rockfish) is the source of this 912-nucleotide long non-coding RNA. RefSeq lists it as uncharacterized. Lineage: Eukaryota; Metazoa; Chordata; Actinopteri; Perciformes; Sebastidae. The record is from RefSeq and is a predicted model, not a curated record. The transcript has 2 exons.
AGUGAAAUCAUUUAUCCUGCUAAUGGAGAAUAAACAUUUAAUACAUAAAAAUUAAAAUAGUAUGAAUAAUGACUUAAUAUGAUGAGAUAAUGCUAUACAAUGACAACACUACAAGAAAUACAUGUUUUCAAUAAAAUCAAAUAUAUAUAUAUAGAAGAGCCGUUGGUGCUUGGGUCAGAUAAUAAAGCUAAUAUCUACUAUACUUGCACUCUUUGUGUUAACAGGCAUUCAGACUGAAAAUGGCACACAAGGUUUGUGUGGGUGUGCUUAUGAUAUUUUGUAACAGAAUAUUUGGAAAGUUGUCAUAGAAGCAAUCAUUUUGUCCUCAAUUGUAUUGUGCCUACCCUGUUUUUUUCCCACACCCUUAUGAAUUAGGACCCCUGCUGUACCAACAGCGGUCUCAUUGAGAUGAAUGAGGAGGCCGUGUCUUUCCAGCCCAGUAUCAUAGGAAACACAUUCAUAGUGGACAAUUCCGCAUCUCACUAUUUACAUUAAGCGCUUACUGUAGGUGCAGUUUGAACUUUAAGGUUGGGGGUUCACAAAAGCAAAACACGGAAAUGUAUUGUGUACAACAGAGGCUGUGUUUACACAAUGAUUAAUAAUCAGGCACAUUUUUAUAUCCCGACUAAAAUGCCCAACGAGUGAUGGAAUAUUGUGAGAAUUAGCAUAGAAACCAAACUCACAAACUCGGCCAGUAAACCAGAGAUGAGUCUUGCAGGCUCGUUGAUAGACCUACAUUAGGCUACCUGGUGAUGUCUAAUAGCAUGUUAAAACACAGAGAGAGCUCUGAUGUUAUUAUAAAUGAAUAAAAAGACCACAAAAAGUUAUCUUGUUGGUUUUUAAUCUGUCAAUAAGAAGAAGCAACAAGGUCGAUAUUUUCCAUCAUCACAUUAAUUAUUAGUUCUGUGUUAU